CGGGGGCGGAGGCGGAGGCGGAGGCGGCGUCGUCGGCGUCGGAGGCAACCGGCUUGAGGAGCGUCGGAGUCGGGGGCGUCGGAGUCGCGAGAGGGCGUCGGGGGCGGAGGCGGCGUCGUCAGUGUCGGAGUCGGGGGCGACGGAGGCAACCGGCUUGAGGGGCGUCGGAGUCGAGAAUGGAGAGAGAGAGCUCGUCGGCGAGAAUGGAGAGAGAGAGCAGAGGAGGGGGAAGAGAAGCAG
RNAcentral lists this long non-coding RNA (240 nucleotides) under Eucalyptus grandis. Its description in RNAcentral is "long non-coding RNA (EGRA_LNC006520)". Lineage: Eukaryota; Viridiplantae; Streptophyta; Magnoliopsida; Myrtales; Myrtaceae. The record is from RNAcentral.